CAGUUCCUACCGGGAGAAUGGAGCUCGCUCCGGCUAUUGGAUGAGCCUAAGUCGAAUAAGCUAGUGUGGGGUUAAAGCUCACCAGCCGACGAUCCGUAGCUGUUCUGAGAGAUGAUCAGCACAUCGGGACUGAGACACGGGCCCGGACUCCUACGGGAGGCAGCAGUGGGGGAUAUUGACAAUGGGCGAAAGCUGAUCCAGCCAUGCCGCGUGUGUGAGAAGGCCCUCGGGUUGUUAAGCACUUUCAGCGAGGAAGAACGGCUUAGUGGUUAAUACCAUUAGGAAAGACAUCACUCGCAGAAGAAGCACCGGGCUAACUCCGUGCCAGCAGCCGCGGUAAUACGGAGGGUGCAAGCGUUAAUCGGAAUUACUGGGCGUAAAGCGCGCGUAGGUGGCUUGAUAAGCCGGUUGUGAAAGCCCCGGGCUCAACCUGGGAACGGCAUCCGGAACUGUCAAGCUAGAGUGCAGGAGAGGAAGGUAGAAUUCCCGGUGUAGCGGUGAAAUGCGUAGAGAUCGGGAGGAAUACCAGUGGCGAAGGCGGCCUUCUGGACUGACACUGCACUGAGGUGCGAAAGCGUGGGUAGCAAACAGGAUUAGAUACCCUGGUAGUCCACGCCGUAAACGAUGUCGACCAGCCGUUGGGUGCCUAGCGCACUUUGUGGCGAAGUUAACGCGAUAAGUCGACCGCCUGGGGAGUACGGCCGCAAGGUUAAAACUCAAAUGAAUUGACGGGGGCCCGCACAAGCGGUGGAGCAUGUGGUUUAAUUCGAUGCAACGCGAAGAACCUUACCUACUCUUGACAUCCUGCGAACUUGUGAGAGAUCACUUGGUGCCUUCGGGAACGCAGAGACAGGUGCUGCAUGGCUGUCGUCAGCUCGUGUUGUGAAAUGUUGGGUUAAGUCCCGUAACGAGCGCAACCCUUGUCCUUAUUUGCCAGCGCGUAAUGGCGGGAACUCUAAGGAGACUGCCGGUGACAAACCGGAGGAAGGUGGGGACGACGUCAAGUCAUCAUGGCCCUUACGAGUAGGGCUACACACGUGCUACAAUGGCCGGUACAAAGGGUUGCGAGCUCGCGAGAGUCAGCUAAUCCCGAAAAGCCGGUCUCAGUCCGGAUCGGAGUCUGCAACUGACUCCCGUGAAGUCGGAAUCGCUAGUCACUCUCCAGUAGUGCAUCGACGACGCAUACCAAAACCCCCGG
Molecule: ribosomal RNA, 1198 nt
Filed under: Vreelandella venusta
Lineage: Bacteria; Pseudomonadati; Pseudomonadota; Gammaproteobacteria; Oceanospirillales; Halomonadaceae
Description: bacterial SSU rRNA
Rfam family: Bacterial small subunit ribosomal RNA
Source: RNAcentral